This 403-nucleotide ribosomal RNA is filed under the name bacterium. RNAcentral's name for it is "partial 16S ribosomal RNA". It matches the Rfam family "Bacterial small subunit ribosomal RNA", at positions 355 to 776 of the family's 1533-position model. The record is from RNAcentral.
UGGGGAAUAUUGCACAAUGGGGGAAACCCUGAUGCAGCGACGCCGCGUGAACGAAGAAGGUAUUCGUAUCGUAAAGUUCUGUCCUAUGGGAAGAUAAUGUCAGUACCAUAGAAGAAAGCUCCGGCUAAAUACGUGCCAGCAGCCGCGGUAAUACGUAUGGAGCGAGCGUUGUCCGGAAUUAUUGGGCGUAAAGGGUACGCAGGCGGUUUAAUAAGUCGAAUGUUAAAGAUCGGGGCUCAACCCCGCAAAGCAUUGGAAACUGAUAAACUUGAGUAGUGGAGAGGAAAGUGGAAUUCCUAGUGUAGUGGUGAAAUACGUAGAUAUUAGGAGGAAUACCAGUAGCGAAGGCGACUUUCUGGACACAAACUGACGCUGAGGUACGAAAGCGUGGGGAGCAAACAGG